ACGUGCGGGAUUAAAGUGCAGAAAUGCAGACGUUGUAAUGGAGGAAUUUAGAAAUCUGAAAUACAGAAAUCAGAGCGUAGCGUGCACCCGGCUCUGCCAGCCCGCUGCUGUCCUCUCUGCUGCUGGUGCUCCAAUACAUCGCUGUUAAAAGCCCGUGUGCACGCAGGAUUAGUAAGAGCAGCUGUUAACCUGAAAACCAAAAGCGAAGUUGAUUUAUAGCCACGGUUACUCAAAAUGCUCAGACUUUAAUCUAUUCAUAGGGAUGCUCUGGAAGUCCCGCGGGAUUCGGGUGCAGUGAGAAGGAGCGAUCCUGCUGGGCGGGCAGCAUUAUACACCUUGCUCGCACAGCUACAGUUCUCCCAUGCGGCUCAAAGCUGUGGGUGGCAGCACGGUGGUAAAAAGAUAACAAUACUGAACAGCUUUCUUCAAUUAGCAUCAUCCUUGUGCUUUUGAUUGUUAAAACUCCUUGUUUUGCUUCGCCUUCCAGGCCUGGAUAACCCUGUGGUUAACACCUUAUGAGCAAGAUGACAGAUGCCAACACAAAGCAUUACUCCAUUGAAAAGAUUUGUCCAAAAUUGAGCUGGCAGCUUCAGGGAACUUUGGUGAAUGUGCAAAACGUUUUGCUAGUGCCCAGCCACAGAACUAAGAGAGGACAUUGAGGAGUUCUGCAGGAGGCAGCAGUGUGUGCAGAGAUUGAUCCCAAUGGAGCUCAGAGAUGGGCCUUAAAUUGGCACCACAGCAGCAGAGGUGCAGCAGGUGGCGAAGAUGAAGGUCCCAAGCACACCUUGAAAUGAACGCGAGUGAGCUACAGGUGAUUUGCACACAGCUGUACCUGGAAAAGGCUCAGUUUGUUACCUCUGGCAUUCUCUCCUGAUCUCUCAGCCUCCCCACUAAAACCAUUAGACACAUUGGAAGCCUGGAUGUUUUCCUCUCCACUGACACACUCCACGUGAGGCUCAAGGUGAUUUUGUCUUCAGGAUGAGCCCAGCAGCUGCAGCCCCAGCUGGAAGCGAAGUCAGAAGCUCCACACGUAGACUCAGCACUUCCAAUCCUCUGCAUGGACACCACCGGCCCCAGGACUGUGUGCUUCCACCAGGCACAUGCAUGUCUGACAGUGAUGUCUCCUUCCUUGGUUCCAAGGCCACAUUUUUGCUGAAGGUUGGGAAGGAUGGAAAACAGCUCCGUGGAUUCCAUGCCCUCCCCCAGCCCACCCAAGGGCUGCAUUCUGCCAAAGCAUCACAUCACAGCACCUCUGCAGGGGGCUCCUCAGGUGUUCUUACUGGGACAGUCACAGCACUGAAUGCAUGAGAAUCUGACCCCAGAGCUCAACUCCGUGUAGGAAUGCAGGAAAUCAGUUCCCCCUGCCGAAGUACUGCAGUGCUAAGACAAUGUGGGUAAUGGCAGCAGAAGCGUUGAGAUCCGUGUCCUGACUCCCAGGGUGGGUCUCCUUCUCAUGUCUGAGGUUAACCUGGCACAGUUUCUAACACGUUCCUUGUUGGAUGCUUGGGAUACACAGACCUGCGUGGGAGCUGACAUUUUGGAGAUGUUACCGUGGCUCGGAGCCCCGCAUCCGGGCUGGCUCAUAGUAAGCGUUCCGCAGGAGCACUAUUUGUGCCGUGGCCCUGCAGGAACUGCACUCACACACUGCUCUGUGAAAUAGCAGCAUCUAAGAACAUCUCCAGCUGCAAAGUCCCAAGGGAGAAUUCCUUUCCAGACCCAGAGAUUCACUUCUUCAGAUGAAGCAUUUGGAUUCCUCCUCUCGCUUACAGCUAGCACAGCUGCAAACACCAUCAGAGAUCCCUAAUCCUCUUAGCCGCUCCUGCCGCAUGACUCCAAAUACUGCAGAGGGAAGCGCCUCUGCCUGCAUUGCCACCCAGCUGCUCGCAAACCUCAGCACCAAUGCAGCGCCUCAGUCCUCACUACCCAUGCCUUGGGACCAGCACUGCACUGCUCCCUGCACCAAGGCUACAGGAAUGCAGUGCUAAGGCGGGGAGGCCAGAAGCCCCCAGGGCUUCUCUCAGGUCCCCGGGCACAGGCAGGAUACAGCUGGGAUUUUUUCUUCACUUCUGGAAGGCUGGAGCAUAAUUGAAAGCUGGCAAAGAGGACUGCAUGGGAAAAACCCUCUUUGCUUCCUGUUUGCAGAGAUCUGAUUUUAUAUACUGAAUGGGUUUAGUGUGGUUUUGGGUUUACAGAACUCAGAAACAAUUGUGAGUUGCUUUGGAGCUUUACCCACAACUGCACAGGAGUCUCCUCUAGAGAGGAAUAAACCACCGAGGUGGGUUUGUUUCCACGUGCUCAACCUCUCUGCACUACAGGGCAUUUAUCCACCCAACAGCCAGACAUCAAUGGACACCAGUAAAUCACAUGGAGGCGGUCAAAAGGGAAGCAGAGGCACACAGACUGCUGUCAGUGGUAUCACCUACCCCAGGGCCAGCACCAGCCCUGCUCCAGCCAUCUAGCCAAGCCUCUGGGAGCUUUAGAGGAACUGUUGGCCCUGAAAUGGGUUCAACUGGGACCGAUUUCCUGGCAGAGAAGCACACAUUGUUUUCUCACAGGUGUUUGAUGUUUCUGACCAGUGUGACCCCCCCAGUUCUCUGCAAGAAGGUGGAAGGAAAACACGUGAGCGUCUCAAGGUUUGUUGUCUAACACAAUUAACCAAUUACUUCCAGGUCAAGACAGGGCAAAGCUAUAAACACAGCUUGCUGCUAUAAAUAUGUUUGCUCAAGGGUGGUGCAGGAGUAGGAAGGGUUAGGUGCAGGGCUGUCACUUAGGCUUUAAAAGAAAGCAAAUAGCAAGGAGUGCUUCCUGCAAAGCAGUCACUGUAAGGACUGUGUGGUCCCUUGGAGGCUCCCAGGUGCUGCUGGAGUUGUCACUGAACACAAAGCAGCAUGAGCAGCAAUGCUCUCUGCUACCCAGAGGGGUCUGGGUCUACAUGGUUUUGUUUGCUGUUUGUUCCUGGUCCUUGUGAUUGCUCUGAUGCAGUUGGUGUCAAGCAGUGUGCAGAGCUGCCUCAUGACACAGGAGAUGGGUGCAGAACUUCAGCCUGGAGGAGACAUGAGUACACGAGUACUGCUCCCCUGCUGCAAAACUCCCUCUAGGCACUGCAGCAUAGGGCCUGUUUCAGACGGGUUUGCCUUGAAAACACUGUUAUUAGACCAAAAUGCCCACUUAAAUAAAAGGAGGGGGGAAAAAAGCAUAGGAGAGAUCAGUGUAACUCUCAGCUAAGACGAGAAUGGACAUGUUGGUUGGUGCAGAUCAAGGCAGGAAUUUUCCACAGGGCCUUAAGGGAUUUCAGCUCUGAUGGAAAGACAAAGGGACUGGAGAGUGGUGCUGCUCCCCUUUGAAGGGACCUGUAGCACUGCAUGUAUGCUGUGCUCAAGUGGACAGAUAGACAGACACAUCUGCUCUGCAAGUGCUCCUGCAUGUUUUCAUAGGGCACAAACCACGGAGAUACUCCCUUAUCCAGGACCUCAGCUCCUAAAAGAGCAGAGCCAGCAUCACUGAGGGGAUUAAUUGGUGUUAAGAGAUGUGUUAGUCCCAAAGUGCAAAUGAGCCUGCUGGAAAAAUAAAUGAGUCUCUGGAGCUGUGCACAGCAAAGCGUUGGCAGCCAGGCCCAUCACCCCAACCCCAUCACCCACAUCCAGCUGGGCUGCACCAGAAUGGGCUCAGCAGCAUGCUGCCCCAAAAGUGCUUACAAAAAUCCACCAGCAGGGAGAGCAGUGGGUGCUGCCUUUCCCAGCACAUUGCUGCUCCUUUUUGCAGUGUCAGUCCAAACGACCCAAAGCCACCAUUGCACGUGCUGCAUUGGAAACACAAAACAUUUCAGCCUGUAGCUCACUUUGGCCCUGCACCACAAAGGGACACUGAAAAGCAUGCUGACUUGUCACCACCCUGCUCACUCAGGAACAGCUGCUGGAGUGAAUCACUUCAGCAUCCUCCAAACAAGGGCUCUGCCAAGCUUCGUGCAACUUCUGGUUCUCACUCCAACAGCAGCAGAGGAGAUGGUAUAACCCCUUUGCUGUUGAGUGUUAGAGAGUUUUCCUUCAUGGUUUUAGAAAUACGCAUAUAACAUCUAUUUUCAGGCUCUUAAUCAUAGCAGAGGCAUAGCCAACCUCAGCUGCUCAGUGCUGGGGGGAAGCUUUGUGCUAUAGCACCCUCUGACUGUGAUGCUAUUGAGUCAUCAGCUGCAAAUCUGACCAGAUGUUGGAGCUGCAGAUGCCAGAACUCUACAAUGGGCUGAAAAGGUGUGAGAGCCGAUGCUGCCUCCUGGCACUUGGGUGUCCAGGCAGUGGCUGAGGGCACAGAGCAGUCUCCUCCUCUCACCACAGCCCUGCAUGCCUCACAUCAUACCAGCUCUGCUUCUGCCCCACAGCCAGCACAGGCUGAAUGCAGGGAGCCACACCUGGCAAGGUUUUAGGAGAAGUGACUCCUCAAGGUCUGGAGAUGCAGUAACAUAAUGCAGAAGUAUUCAACAACCCUUACUUUCCCUGUGUAAGUCACCCACUGCCAAGCUGGAGGUAACAACAGUGCCUUACCUGCUCCUGUCAGCUCAGCUGAACUGAACUUCCAGCCCAAAUGUGACAAGAAGCCUGUUUGGACAGCUAUGCCUUCAAGUAAAGGCUUCCAAAGAACAAGCCACGCAUUUUGUCACUUUCCCUGCCAUCUCAUCCUCCACUCCCAGCUAACACACAAACACACUGCAGGCUCUUUUAACUUCCAAUCACUUCCGAGAUCUGCUACAGCAUCUUCAUGUUCUACACAAGGCAAGCAUUCAGCAAAAGCUUGGACGAUCUUGAGAUGGUGUAAAAAUAUAUCUAGAAUAUUUUACAGAAGGCAGAGGCCCAGUUGGACAAUCCAUGUACUAAAAAAAGUUAGUGUACAUUCAUGCUAUGAAGUUAGAAAAGGUCAAAGUUCCAGAUGGUUGGGGCAGAUCUUCAAACCAAAGCAGUGGCUGCAAUGAAUGCACUAACAAGCGCUGUGUAUUUCUAAGUGAGGAAGCUUAACAUUUCCAGUCAAUAAAGUCAGGAAGCAGAUUAUAAAGACUCA
Molecule: non-coding RNA, 5046 nt
Organism: Coturnix japonica (Japanese quail)
Lineage: Eukaryota; Metazoa; Chordata; Aves; Galliformes; Phasianidae
Source: RefSeq, a predicted model, not a curated record